AGCUCCGUGGUGGUUAACACAUCGGAUUGCAAAUCCGGGGACGUAGAUUAAUACUCUGCCGGGGCUU
RNAcentral lists this transfer RNA (67 nucleotides) under Cosmochilus harmandi. RNAcentral's name for it is "tRNA-Cys". It matches the Rfam family "tRNA". Rfam says of the family: Transfer RNA (tRNA) molecules are approximately 80 nucleotides in length. Their secondary structure includes four short double-helical elements and three loops (D, anti-codon, and T loops). Lineage: Eukaryota; Metazoa; Chordata; Actinopteri; Cypriniformes; Cyprinidae. The record is from RNAcentral.